This 207-nucleotide ribosomal RNA is filed under the name uncultured bacterium. RNAcentral's name for it is "partial 16S ribosomal RNA". It matches the Rfam family "Bacterial small subunit ribosomal RNA", at positions 568 to 774 of the family's 1533-position model. The record is from RNAcentral.
UGCGUAGGUGGACGUGUAAGUGCUUUGUGAAAUACCUCGGCUUAACCGAGGAACUGCUUGGCAAACUGCACGUCUUGAGGUCGGCAGGGGUUGCCGGAACUCUAGGUGGAGCGGUGAAAUGCGUAGAUAUCUAGAGGAACGCCAACGGUGAAGACAGGCAACUGGGCCGAUUCUGACACUGAUGCACGAAAGCGUGGGGAGCAAACG